UACGUAGGGGGCAAGCGUUGUCCGGAUUUAUUGGGCGUAAAGAGCGUGUAGGCGGCCUGAAAGGUCAGCUGUGAAAACUCGAGGCUCAACCUCGAGACGUCGGUUGAAACCAUCUGGCUAGAGUCCGGAAGAGGAGUGUGGAAUUCCCGGUGUAGCGGUGAAAUGCGCAGAUAUCAGGAGGAACACCAGUGGCGAAGGCGGUUGCCUGGGAGCUUUGCUGACGCUGAGGCGCGAAAGCGUGGGGAGCGAUCCGGA
RNAcentral lists this ribosomal RNA (255 nucleotides) under uncultured bacterium. Its description in RNAcentral is "partial 16S ribosomal RNA". It matches the Rfam family "Bacterial small subunit ribosomal RNA", at positions 524 to 777 of the family's 1533-position model. The record is from RNAcentral.